Molecule: long non-coding RNA, 288 nt
Filed under: Elaeis guineensis (African oil palm)
Lineage: Eukaryota; Viridiplantae; Streptophyta; Magnoliopsida; Arecales; Arecaceae
Description: long non-coding RNA (EGUI_LNC068882)
Source: RNAcentral
CAAGCUCCCCAUCGACCACAAUCUUCUAAAUCCAACCCUUUAUCCAUCCAAAAUUUCUUAUUUCUACCUUAAAAUCUUGGGUAGAUACUUCCUCAGCCUAUCCUUGAUCAAAACUCGCUCUUUCUUGCUCUCUACCAAACCCUUAAAACCCUCAUCUCAAAAUCCAAAGCAAACACCUCAAAAUCCCUUACUCCUCUUCAUUCCCAUCAACCUUUCACCCUUCAUUACUCUCUUGACCGGUUCCCUUGCCCUCAUUGCAGUAAUGGCUCCCAAGAUGCGGCUGCCCCA